Molecule: ribosomal RNA, 468 nt
Filed under: uncultured bacterium
Lineage: Bacteria
Description: partial 16S ribosomal RNA
Rfam family: Bacterial small subunit ribosomal RNA
Source: RNAcentral
GAUGAACGCUGGCGGCGUGCUUAACACAUGCAAGUCGAACGGUGAACACGGAGCUUGCUCUGUGGGAUCAGUGGCGAACGGGUGAGUAACACGUGAGCAACCUGCCCCUGACUCUGGGAUAAGCGCUGAAACGGCGUCUAAUACUGGAUAUGUGACGUGACCGCAUGGUCUGCGUUUGGAAAGAUUUUUCGGUUGGGGAUGGGCUCGCGGCCUAUCAGCUUGUUGGUGAGGUAAUGGCUCACCAAGGCGUCGACGGGUAGCCGGCCUGAGAGGGUGACCGGCCACACUGGGAUUGAGACACGGCCCAGACUCCUACGGGAGGCAGCAGUGGGGAAUAUUGCACAAUGGGCGAAAGCCUGAUGCAGCAACGCCGCGUGAGGGAUGACGGCCUUCGGGUUGUAAACCUUUUUUAGCAGGGAAGAAGCGAAAGUGACGGUACCUGCAGAAAAAGCGCCGGCUAACUACGUG